AGGGUUUGAUCAUGGCUCAGGACGAACGCUGGCGGUGCGCCUUAUGCAUGCAAGUCGAGCGAAGCUUUUCAGUAGUUUACUACAGAAAAUGACUGAGCGGCGAACGGGUGAGUAACGCGUGAGCAACCUACCUUAGUUACUGGGAUAGCCCGAGGAAACUCGGAUUAAUACCGGAUAUUCUUAUUUAAUCACAUGAUUUUUUAAGGAAAGGUCAGCCGAACUAAGAUGGGCUCGCGUUCUAUCAGCUAGUUGGUAGGGUAAUGGCCUACCAAGGCUACGACGGAUAGCUGGUCUGAGAGGACGAUCAGCCACACUGGGACUGAGACACGGCCCAGACUCCUACGGGAGGCUGCAGCAGGGAAUAUUGCGCAAUGAGCGAAAGCUUGACGCAGCGACACCGCGUGUGGGAUGACGGAUCUAGGUUUGUAAACCACUUUCAGGAGGGAAGAAAAUGACGGUACCUCCACAAGAAGCCCCGGCCAACUACGUGCCAGCAGCCGCGGUAAUAC
This 509-nucleotide ribosomal RNA is filed under the name uncultured bacterium. RNAcentral's name for it is "bacterial SSU rRNA". It matches the Rfam family "Bacterial small subunit ribosomal RNA", at positions 8 to 526 of the family's 1533-position model. The record is from RNAcentral.